RNAcentral lists this unclassified non-coding RNA (217 nucleotides) under Hevea brasiliensis (rubber tree). Lineage: Eukaryota; Viridiplantae; Streptophyta; Magnoliopsida; Malpighiales; Euphorbiaceae. The record is from RNAcentral.
GUUCCCACACCAAGCUUCAUAUGGAGUCAUGUCCUGCAAGGCCUUAGUAGGCAAUCUGUUCAGCAAAUAUACAAAGAUAUUGACUGCCUCAGCCCAAAACUGAUUUGGGAUCUUUCUUUCGAGCAAAAGACAUAUGGCCAUCUCCAUUACUGUCCUGUUCUUCCUUUCUCACACGCCAUUUAGUUGUGGAGUGUAUGGUAAUGUCAAUUGGCGUUCA